This 225-nucleotide ribosomal RNA is filed under the name uncultured bacterium. RNAcentral's name for it is "partial 16S ribosomal RNA". It matches the Rfam family "Bacterial small subunit ribosomal RNA", at positions 524 to 745 of the family's 1533-position model. The record is from RNAcentral.
UACGGAGGGGCCAGCGUUGUUCGGAAGUCAUUGGGCGUAAAGGGCGCGUAGGCGGCCGGGUAAGUCUGACGUGAAAUCCCUUGGCUUAACCAAGGAAUUGCCGUCGUUAAACUGUCCGGCUUGAGUCCGGGAGAGGGUAGUGGAAGUUCCCAGUGUAGCGGUGAGAUGCGUAGAUAUUGGGAGGAACACCGGUGGCGAAGGCGGCUACCUGGACCGGUACUGACG